This 503-nucleotide long non-coding RNA is filed under the name Macaca mulatta (Rhesus monkey). RNAcentral's name for it is "lncRNA (ENSMMUG00000063175.1)". The record is from RNAcentral. Lineage: Eukaryota; Metazoa; Chordata; Mammalia; Primates; Cercopithecidae.
CUUUUUACUUUUUAAAACUGAAGGAUCUAAGAUUUCUCCUCUUGUUCAGGAAGUGAGAGCAGAAUGAGACAGAAAAGAUGAAUGCAGCGAGAAAGAAUGAACCUUGUGGUCCUUCUGUUUCACGCUCUUGCACGAUCUUCCCAUGUCUGGGUGACCAAGCUCUUUCUAGCCUGAAUCAGCAUGGAGAACAAGCAGAGGAUGGAUUUCUGCAAGAUGUGAGGACUGCGAUAUUCCCGUUCACGCAUGAACCACAGCUGCGGUCCCUAGGUGAGCCACAGAUGGACAUGCAUGUCACAGCCCAGCCCACUGUAUGGCUUUGCCUGGGCCUAGUACUCACUCUCUGUUCCCAUCCUGGCAGAUCCCCUGACCUCUGGAGAAGGCUGCUACCAUUGCACUGACCCAACCUCACCAAGGCAUCAAAGGACAAAAGAAGGAACCAAAACGUGGGUGUCAUUACUGCAAGUCCCAUCGAGGUAAUACUCCAGUGGCACUGCAUCUUUGGU